Molecule: ribosomal RNA, 625 nt
Filed under: Nipponacmea radula
Lineage: Eukaryota; Metazoa; Mollusca; Gastropoda; Lottiidae
Description: partial 16S ribosomal RNA
Rfam family: Bacterial large subunit ribosomal RNA
Source: RNAcentral
UUUGCCUUACUCAUAUUGGGUCGUACCUGCACAAUGGCCUCCAGAAGAGGUUAAAUUGCCGCGGUACCCUGACCGUGCAAAGGUAGCGAAAUAAUUUGCCUAUUAAUUGUUGGCCAGAAAUGAAUGGUGUGACGCUGGUGGCGCUGUCUCGUCAGUACUGAUUUGAAUUUGACUUCUGGGUGAAAAGGCCCAGAUAAACCUGAAAGACGAUUAGACCCUGUCGAACUUUAAGUAGAUACGCUUAAGAAAAAAAUAAAGCGGGCACGCUUUUGGUUGGGAAAACCGGAGGUAAGAAAAAACACCUCCUCCUUUUGAGACACCCGUUAUGUGUAGGGUAAAAAAGAAUUUACCCUAAGGGCAAUUGGCCUAAUGGAUAGUAAAAAGAUAGGAGCAAUAAAAGUCCGACAGGACAUAAUUAACUUAUAAAACGAACCUAAAGACCUACUAAGUAGGAAGCUAUUAAUUAGGAAUAGUUACCGCAGGGAUAACAGCGUAAUCCUUCCGGCGAGACCACAUUAAUGGAAGGGUUUGCGACCUCGAUGUUGGCUUGGGGCUUCCUAGGGGCGAAGAGGCUCCUAAGGGUUGGUCUGUUCGACCAUUAAAGCCCUACGUGAUCUGAGUCAAA